RNAcentral lists this long non-coding RNA (215 nucleotides) under Mytilus galloprovincialis (Mediterranean mussel). Lineage: Eukaryota; Metazoa; Mollusca; Bivalvia; Mytilida; Mytilidae. The record is from RNAcentral.
UUUAUUAGGGGUCAUCCAUAAUUGUCAACCAUUUUCCAAAGUGUACAAAACGUACACUCGGGGGGAGGGCGUUAAAAAAUCAACAUUUUUACCGUACGCUUUUUUUUUUUAUUUCCGAAAUUUAUUUCGUGUCCGUAGGCAUGGUAGGAAAGGUCGAUGUAUAAAAUUGAGAAUUGGCUUGGGUGUGUUUCUCUUCUUAUUUCUUCUUUAUUUUU